AUAGUUGACAUCAGUAGGACCAUGUGAUAAAUGGUUAAGGCUUCACACCUCCCUCCCUCAUGUCCUGGAUUUAAUCCCUUGUUGCCACUUUUCCUCACCAUUUUUUCCAUUUUUUUCAUUUGUUUUCACCCUUAUUUUUUAUGUUCUUUCCCCAUUAUUUUUAGCCAUUCCAAUGAAUUCAUUUCUGACUUUUUUAUGCCUACUUCUUAUUUGUGACAUUG
This 221-nucleotide long non-coding RNA is filed under the name Lathyrus oleraceus (garden pea). Its description in RNAcentral is "Pisum sativum (pea) long non-coding RNA (PSAT_LNC010894)". Lineage: Eukaryota; Viridiplantae; Streptophyta; Magnoliopsida; Fabales; Fabaceae. The record is from RNAcentral.